GGUUCUAUGGUGUAAUGGUUAGCACAUCGGAUUUUGAUUCCGGGGAUCUGGGUUCGAUUCCCAGUAGAACCU
Phialocephala subalpina is the source of this 72-nucleotide transfer RNA. It matches the Rfam family "tRNA". Rfam says of the family: Transfer RNA (tRNA) molecules are approximately 80 nucleotides in length. Their secondary structure includes four short double-helical elements and three loops (D, anti-codon, and T loops). NCBI's taxonomy places the organism in Eukaryota, Fungi, Ascomycota, Leotiomycetes, Helotiales, Mollisiaceae. The record is from Rfam.